GCCGGGCGCGGUGGCGCGCGCCUGUAAUCCCAGCUACUCGGGAGGCUGAGGCUGGAGGAUCGCUUGAGCCCAGGAGUUCUGGGCUGCAGUGCGCUAUGCCGAUCGGGUGUCCGCACUAAGUUCGGCAUCAAUAUGGUGACCUCCCGGGAGUGGGGGACCACCAGGUUGCCUAAGGAGGGGUGAACCGGCCCAGGUCGGAAACGGAGCAGGUCAAAACUCCCGUGCUGAUCAGUAGUGGGAUCGCGCCUGUGAAUAGCCACUGUACUCCAGCCUGGGCAACAUAGCGAGACCCUGUCUCU
This 299-nucleotide signal recognition particle RNA is filed under the name Sus scrofa (pig). Its description in RNAcentral is "Metazoan signal recognition particle RNA (ENSSSCG00070001003.1)". It matches the Rfam family "Metazoan signal recognition particle RNA". From Rfam's summary of the family: The signal recognition particle (SRP) is a universally conserved ribonucleoprotein. It is involved in the co-translational targeting of proteins to membranes. Lineage: Eukaryota; Metazoa; Chordata; Mammalia; Artiodactyla; Suidae. The record is from RNAcentral.